Molecule: long non-coding RNA, 2665 nt
Organism: Gorilla gorilla gorilla (western lowland gorilla)
Lineage: Eukaryota; Metazoa; Chordata; Mammalia; Primates; Hominidae
Exons: 2
Source: RefSeq, a predicted model, not a curated record
GGUGGGGCCAGAUAAGGGAAUAAAAGCAGGCUGCCCGAGCUAGCAGUGGCAACGGGGUAGGGUUCUCUUCCAGAGUGUGGAAGCUUUGUUCUUUUGCCUUUGGCAAUAAAUUUUGCUGCUGCUCAGUCUUUGGGUCUGCACUAUCUUUGGCGGCUGCUGCUCGCUCUUUGGGUCUGUGCUGUCUUUAUGAGCUGCAACACGGUGAAGCUCUGCAGCUUCGCUCCUGAAGCCAGUGAGACCACAAACCCACCAGAAGGAAGAAACUCUGGACCCAUCUGAACAUCUGAAGGAACAAACUCUGGACACACCGUCUUUAGGAACUGUAACACUCACUGCGAGGGUCUGUGGCUUCAUUCUUGAAGUCAGUGAGACCAAGAACCCACCAAUUCCGGACACAAUACUAUGGGAUGUUUGUUCAUCUGGUGUUUUCUUUGAAGACAGAAUCAGAGAGGCGCAGCAAGUGCCAGAACUCAAAUUGAAGCGCAACUCUGCCUGAUGGAAGCUCAGGUGAUUUCCACUCUGCCUCCACCUGCAUUGCUCAGCACCCUGCAGCCGGUCCCCAGACUGUAUGCUCCAUGCUGCUUGUGUUUGUUGGUUGGCUGGGUUCGUGUUCAUGUGUUCUGGCGUCUUCAUUUUGGGUCUUUACAUCUUUACAUCUCUAUAGCAGUUCUUCCCAUGUUGUGUAGCAGUUGUCUCUACAUGACGGUCUGUCUUGUGAGGUUGAGCUCCCUGAAGGCAGCAAGCAUGUAACUGGUAAAUUCUCAUCAGUUAGCCAUGUCUGGAACAUGGUAGGUGUUCAAUAACGGUUUUUGCUCAUUUAAUCAACUGUUCAUUAGCGUUUACUGAACUCUCCUACUGUGUAUCCAACACUGUAGCAGGCACUGAGGAUGGAGCGGUGGAGAAAAACGGGCAACACACUCUGCACUCCAUCUAGGGUGCAGAAAACAUGCAAAUAGUCAUAUACACUAAAACACCUCCCUCAGCACACUGACAUACUACUAUAACAUGCAAAUACUCAGAUACACGAAAACAUGCAGUCACAUGAAAACACUUCACACAGCACACUGACACGCUAUUACACGUAGCUAGAUACACGAAAACACUUCACACAGCACACUGACACACUGCUGUAACAUGCAGUCACAUGAAAACACUUCACACAGCACACUGACACGCUAUUACACGUAGCUAGAUACACGAAAACACACAGCACACUGACACACUGCUGUAACAUGCAGUCACAUGAAAACACCACACAGCACACUGACACGCUAUUACACGUAGCUAGAUACACGAAAACACUUCACACAGCACACUGACACACUGCUGUAACAUGCAAAUAGUCACAUGAAAACACUUCACACAGCACACUGACACGCUAUUACACGUAGCUAGAUACACGAAAACACCUCACACAGCACACUGACACACUGCUGUAACAUGCAAAUAGUCACAUACACAAAACACACAGCACACUGACACACUGCUGUAACAUGCAAAUAGUCAUAUACACCAAAACACUUCACACAACACACAGACACACUGCUGUAACAUGCAAAUAGUCACAUAAACAAAACACUUCACACAGCAGACUGACACUGCUGUAACAUGCAAAUAGUCAUACACAUGAAAACACUUCACACAGCACACUGACACACUGCUAUGACAUGCAAAUAGUCAUACACACAUGAAAACACUUCACACAGCACACUGACACACUGCUGUAACAUGCAAAUAGUCAUACACACGAAAACACUUAACACAGCACACUGACACUGCUGUAACACGCAAAUAGUCAUAUACACAUGAAAACACUUCACACAGCACAGCGACACACGGCUAUGUCAGAAAGGCAUGCAGUACUCUGUGAGUGUAGGAUGGUGUCGAGAGUCAGGAAAGAGUUGUGAAGAAAAGGGUAUGUGAGUGAGGGGUCAAGGCCGAGCAUCUAGGUGGAAAGUCCCGGCAGAGGGAGCCGUGCAAGCAUCCCCUCAGGCAGCAGGGACGUGGCACGACUGGGGGACCGGUGGCCGGAGGGCAGAGGCAGAGCCGGGAGUGUGCGAGGUGAGCAUGGAGAGGAAGCCACUGCACGCCAGAAAAAGGCACUCCUCCCACGAACAGGAGAGUCCACAGAGAUUUCUGCAAAGAGAGAAGCCAUGAGUGCUCGUUCAGUGCCUACAGUGUUUGGGGCAGCUGUGCAUUUUCUUCACAAAUUCAUUCCUUAAGAAACACUGCUCCAUGCGUUAUACGAGACAGAAAAUCCCGGUUAAUACUAACAGAUCCUUAGCUCGGGAUUGUCCGGAGCAGGCACGCUGUCGGCAGGGGCUGCUCUGGGGUCUGUGGUGUCAGGGGCUCCCCAGAAGCUGCAGCGCAGAAAUGGGGGAGGCUGAGAGCGACUCAGGCCUCCCUGCAAAUGCAGCUGAGGGGAGAUACCUUUCCGAUCAUGCUGGUGAUGAAACUCGCAGACACAAGUGACUAACCAAUUGAUAAGUAUUGCUCACUACUCGCAGAAAAUAUAGAUUUUUUUCUUAAAAGUCAUAGACAAAACACAGUUAAAUAAUUUAAUGGUUAUACCUUUCCUGACAUACUAUGUAACCUUGGCUUAUAUGCCUGGCUUAGAGAUGUUUUCCAAAGUUGUGGUGUAAUAAAAACAUUUAAAUAAUGAGUA